UCGCCCAGGCCCAGGGGAGGCGUCGGGGACAGCUUUCGGAAGGAGGAGGCCGGCUGGCCCUGCUGGGGGAAGUCUCCUCCGUCAGGGCGCUUACCGCUGAACACCUAGAGAGAGACAGAAGGAAACUGAACAUCCCAGCAAAGAGGCAAUGACUGUUGGGCGACAGGAUGGACCACAUGACGGCUUCCCAAAAGUGACAACUCAACACAUUUGUCGCCCCCUGGUGGCUGGCUGCAGUACAGGCAGUUAGAAGCUCCAUGCAGGGCAGAGCAGUGCGUGGUGCAGAGGACAGAGGCUUCAUGGUAUUCAGGCGGAGAAGCAUUUGAUCCGAGGCCAAAGGGUUACAUUCAACUGCAGGAUGGAGAGCUUGUUUCCUGUGAUGCAACCCCCCCCCAAACACUCACACAGGCGCACACACACACACGCAAUCCCGCUACUCCACUUCUCCCUCUUUCCUCAUCUCUCAGCCUGCUUAUCUUAAAAUUCACCAUGGUGAAGAAAUUUCACCUUUUGACCGUCACCAGAACCCAUGGCUUAUUCAUUUAUUGAUUACAGUAUAUAAUGAUAAUCAUAGUUAGCGUAUAAAGGAUACGAUAAGGUAUCGCUGCUACACACGUUAUUUUUACGCUUGUGAUAUACCAAAAAGGAUCUCAUCUCUGGAGUAAAAAAAAACAAGGGAAGAAACUUGCUUCAAGAGUUAGCAACAAAUGAACUACAAAUCUAGCAGCAGCUUUUGACUCUGCAUAAUUAUCAUUAUAUUGUUGUUGUUGUUGUGGUUGUUUUUGUGGUUGUUCAAAUCUUGGUUGUUUGGUUAUUUGGACUCCCAAGUUGGACAAAACAAGCUCUUUGAAGUCAUCACUUUGGGCUUAAGGGAAUUUCAACAGGCAUUUUUUAUAUUUUCUGACAUUUAUACGACACUUAUGUGCCGUUCAAACACUCACACAUUUACAUCAGCUCACAGCCAGACGAGUCUGGUGACUCGUGACUGACACCACUAAUUAUGAGCUCAAAAUGAGAGAAGACCUGCCCCAGGCCCCCCUCGCACAGUUAACUCCCCUCUCCUCGUCCGUCGCUGUGACAUCUAUUGUGUCUUUUACCACCGCAGCAUAAACCUCCUGCGUGGCCUCACCCGUCUCCUCCCGGUCCUUCACUCGUGUGUUAAUCCCUUCUGCCCUCCCUCCCCUGCUCGAUUGGGCCAAGCAGUCACAUUUGAUACUUUAUUUGGUUCUGCCCUUUUAUUUCCUGCCUCUAAUCCUCCAAAAAUGUUAUCUCUCUCUCUCCCCCACUCUGCUGACUAAACAAACCCUUACCAGACGAUUUUCGGACCCUUGGAAGCAGCGAGACCGCCUCUCAUUCUGCUUCUGCCAGACACCGUUCAGAUUUAGUUUUUUCUAAUUUCACUCAUCUCUGUUCUCUCCGCUUGUUGCUUUAGUUUGUUCUCUGACGUUUGGCCUGUUUUUAAUUUCACUGUGGGUAUUUCUCUCUUUCGCCCUCUCAUUCACUACCACUCUCUUCUGUUUCUAUGUAGGACGUUUUCUGCAUCAAGGAAGAGUAGAUCAGACAGACAUUGGAGUCAUGGAGGGACAGGAAAGAGAAAACAACAAUAUGCUAGUUGCUGUCGUAAAGCAUCUGACUCUGAUUAAAGGGAGGACAGACGAAAACGUGGUGCUGUGUAAAUUAACUAAUUAAAGGUUCUGCCCCCCUGCCCUAAUAUGAGUAGGCCUAGAUAUGACCCCAUCACCCAUCACUAUAAAGGACAGUGCACUGCCACGUUCCUCUUGGUCAUAAUGUAUAUGCACAGGUGUAUAUGUGUAGAGAAAUUAAAUGUAUUCAUUAAAAUUAACGUUCAUACAAAUCCAUUUCAGUUGACCUGAUGAAGGUCUGUGGACGAUAACGGGGUAGGUAGUUGACAGGGUGUGGGAUUUUGUAGUUCUUCCACUGUUUAGAAUAAUCAAACAUCUUGUGAAUCAAGCUUGUAAGUCAUCUACACUUAAAGAAAGGGUGGUGAGUUUUAAUCACAAACACUGACAUCAUUGUGAUUCAAAUUCAACUUGAUCUCAAUGAAAAAUAGGAGAAUUAUGUUUGCUUAAGAAUAGCAACAGUUAAGCAACUCACAUGACUAGGUGACUUAAAUAGCACACAUUCCAUAAACUCAGCAGUUGGGACAAGUAGCCUGUAACUGAUUGCUGAAUGCAGAAUCUGAACCGCGUGAAAAUAAACCUUUUCCAGAAGGGACAUCUGAUAGAGAAAGACCUGAUUGGCAGCACUGUCUGUCUGUCUGUCUGUGUGUGUGUGUGUGUGUCAGAUCAUGAUGCUCAUGGAGAAUGAAGAAACAUGGUGGUGACAGUAGAAGGUUCUCUGAGUUUAGUGAAUCAGCAGGCUGAAUGUGUGACUCUGUAUAUGUUAC
This is a long non-coding RNA of Scophthalmus maximus (turbot), 2407 nucleotides long. RefSeq lists it as uncharacterized. The record is from RefSeq and is a predicted model, not a curated record. The transcript has 3 exons. NCBI's taxonomy places the organism in Eukaryota, Metazoa, Chordata, Actinopteri, Pleuronectiformes, Scophthalmidae.